ACGGCUGUAUCACAGGGAAACACCAGUUCCCGUACGAUCAGCGAAGUUAAGCAACAUCAAGCCUGCUCAAUAUCUAGAUGGGUGAUCAUUUGGAAUGACAUGUGCUGUAAG
Molecule: non-coding RNA, 111 nt
Organism: Acanthosepion pharaonis
Lineage: Eukaryota; Metazoa; Mollusca; Cephalopoda; Sepiida; Sepiidae
Source: the annotation of a GenBank genome assembly